UUUUCACGGACGCCAACAUGGCCUGGCCAGAGGAGCCAGGUCGCGUCUUCAGGUGUUUGGAUGGAGCUGCGGGUGCGGUUCUUCAUCGGGUGGCUGAGCUCGAUCAGUGUGUGAAGGAGAACCUGGCUCAUAUCGGGAGGUGUUCAGAGGACCUGGCUUCUGGUGGCUGCUGAAGCUUCUUCUCCAGAUUUGAAGGGCUGCAGUCCUCAGGAGACCCCCAGCGCUUCUAUCCACGGUGGGAUAUCAUGGCUGCUCAAGUGGGGGUUGACAUAUGCAGUUGGUUAAAAGAUCUUCCUGGCGAUUUGAUAUUGUAACACGGAUUCUUCCCAGUUUUUUGAACUAUCUUUGAUUGGAAAUGCAUAUAUAAAGCAUCAGAAACAUUACGUCAGAACACUUGGGAAACACUUCCUUGAUUAUUUAAUACACUAUCCAGUUGAAGAAGACAUCUGUUUGGGUAACAUGAAGAUUUACGUUUUUGUGUGUGCUUCAUCACAAUAUCCAUUUCAUAUGUGCUGAAGAAGAAAUUUCCCCAGAAUUAUCUUCAGAUGUACUAUUAUAAUAAAUAUUUAGCAAAUGAGUAUAACAAGUUGAAGUGGAUGAAACUCUUCACAAAAGGGAUACUGUGGACUUACCGUGUCAUCCCCGAAUUUAUAUGUUGAGACUCUAUUCCCCAGUUUGUAAUAUUAUCUGGAAGUUGGGCCUUUGGAAAGUAAUUAAGUUUAGAUGAGGUUGUGGGGGUGCAGCCCCAAUGGUGGGAUCAGUGCCUUUGUAGUAACAGAGACAAGAGAGAGAUCUCUUGCUCUCUCCCCAUCAUGAGGAGGUGGGUGAGGAUGGAGGGCUGUCUUCCAAACUGGAAGAGGCCCUUCCUCAAACAUUGAGUCUUCGAAUUCCUUAAUCUUGAACUUCCCAGGCUCCAGAACCAUGAGAAAUAAGUUUCUUUUAUAAGCCACAUAGUCUGUGUGGUAUUCUGUUAUAACAGUCUGAACUGACUAAGCCAAAGGACAGUACAUAUGUCAGUAUUUUUCCACUUGUAAAGCACUUUUGGGCUUUGAUGAUGAUAAAGACCAAAGCAUAGAAAUGGAUUGUUUCCUAGACACUUUGUUUUUAUAUCUUCUGCAUUUAACUUCAAGUAUAGGAAAGUUUGAAUGAAAUUAGUAAACACAUGAAAAUUUUUAACUUCAGGAAUGUGUUUUAUAGAUAUUUCAUGUAAUACAUAUCUUUAGAUGUAAUUUAUCGUGUGUGUGUAUGCCAAAAAAUUUGUAAACUUUUCCUAUUACUGAAGAAAUAUAAUAAAUACAGUAUUUUAUACUAAA
Molecule: long non-coding RNA, 1313 nt
Organism: Carlito syrichta (Philippine tarsier)
Lineage: Eukaryota; Metazoa; Chordata; Mammalia; Primates; Tarsiidae
Exons: 4
Source: RefSeq, a predicted model, not a curated record